RNAcentral lists this ribosomal RNA (178 nucleotides) under uncultured Flavobacterium sp. RNAcentral describes it as "partial 16S ribosomal RNA". It matches the Rfam family "Bacterial small subunit ribosomal RNA", at positions 336 to 511 of the family's 1533-position model. Lineage: Bacteria; Pseudomonadati; Bacteroidota; Flavobacteriia; Flavobacteriales; Flavobacteriaceae. The record is from RNAcentral.
CUCCUACGGGAGGCAGCAGUGAGGAAUAUUGGACAAUGGGCGCAAGCCUGAUCCAGCCAUGCCGCGUGCAGGAAGACGCAUCUAUGGUGUGUAAACUGCUUUUGUACGGGAAGAAACACUCCUACGUGUAGGAGCUUGACGGUACCGUAAGAAUAAGGAUCGGCUAACUCCGUGCCAG